UGAGAGUGCCUAUAGGUCAUUCAACUUCCAAACUAGGGGUGAUGAUAGCUUACAACAAUACCCCACUCAAACGUCACGUGUUGUGCCUCAUUUCACACGAGAAUCAAAACGGCUGGGUUAUUUGAUUCCUGCACUAGGACCCGGAGGGAGCCUCGGUGUUGUGUGAGAGGACCUAGGCAGCUAAAUAGCAUGUGUCAUCUUCAUUAUCUAAAAUAAUAAGAAAAAAUACUUCACUCUGGUCAAGGGGCUUCUAAUUCUGAGCAGCCCCAGAGAUCUCCACGUGACAGGAGCAGCUAUAUGAGAAAGCAACCCAAGCAUCAGGACCAGUAGUAACCUACCACUUCACCUCCGCUCGAAGCGCAGAUGCAGACAAUCUAGAGGAGAAUCUACUGGCUUUAUAUCCUUUGCUUUAAACCCCAAGGUAAAACAAGCCGUCUGAAUGGUGUAGACAAGUUUGUUGAAUUGAAGAAGGACACGCUUUCACCGGGGAAGCAGGUAUUAUCGGAAUAAAACUCGCGUGCAUCUCAGGGAGAAGGGAGAUCACUCGGACCUCUGUUCUCUUCAGAAUAACUUUUCAUACAAGAGGUGAUGCUGUAUGCUCCAAAUCCACUGUGGCUUUCUGAAGUGGAUUUAGACUGUCACAUAUGCAGCACUCAAAGGGACACUUGUGAAUGAAGGGUGAACUUCAUAAACUUCAUAAAAUGAUAUUAUUCAGUGGUGAGAUAUUAUGUUGUCGCUGCUCAUUUAAUGUGUGACAAAUUGGAAUCAUUCAAGAAACUGGAGGACACGAACCAGAUAAUUCAUCCCAAACACCACUGGCACUUCUUAUUCGAGUCGGAACACCAGCCGUCCAGAUGCAGUUUCGACUUUUGUCAUUGGCUUUAAUCGUGUUGCACUGUAUGGAGUACAGCAACUGUCAAACGCAGUCAAAUCGCUGGAGGAGGAACAAAAGAGCUAGCUAUGGAGUGUACCCCAUCUGCAAGGGCUGCUCGGUGUGCUCCAAGGACAAUGGCUGCGUGAACUGCCAGCCCAAGCUCUUCCUGUUCCUGCGGAGGGAGAGGAUGAGACAGUACGGCGAGUGUCUCCACGCAUGUCCGACGGGAUACUUUGGCAUUCGAGCUCCUGAGAUCAACACGUG
Molecule: long non-coding RNA, 1138 nt
Organism: Oncorhynchus keta (chum salmon)
Lineage: Eukaryota; Metazoa; Chordata; Actinopteri; Salmoniformes; Salmonidae
Exons: 3
Source: RefSeq, a predicted model, not a curated record